AACGUACGCUGGCGGCACGCCUAACACAUGCAAGUCGAACGAAGUAACAAUACUUAGUGGCAGACGGGUGAGUAACAUGUAGGUAUCUGCCCUUUGGCCUGGAAUAACACGAGGAAACUUGUGCUAAUACCGGAUAAGUCUUUACGGAGAAAGCUUUAUGCACCAUUGGAUGAGCCUGCACUUGAUUAGUUUGUUGGUGGGGUAAUGGCCUACCAAGACUGUGAUCAAUAGCUGAUUUGAGAGGAUGAUCAGCCACAUUGGGACUGAGACACGGCCCAAACUCCUACGGGAGGCAGCAGUGGGGAAUCUUGCACAAUGGAGGAAACUCUGAUGCAGCGAUGCCGCGUGAGUGAAGAAGGCCCUUGGGUUGUAAAGCUCUUUCGUCGGGGAAGAAAAUGACUGUACCCGAAUAAGAAGGUCCGGCUAACUUCGUG
RNAcentral lists this ribosomal RNA (434 nucleotides) under uncultured bacterium. RNAcentral describes it as "bacterial SSU rRNA". It matches the Rfam family "Bacterial small subunit ribosomal RNA", at positions 29 to 507 of the family's 1533-position model. The record is from RNAcentral.